RNAcentral lists this ribosomal RNA (687 nucleotides) under Triticum aestivum (bread wheat). RNAcentral describes it as "partial small subunit ribosomal RNA". The record is from RNAcentral. Lineage: Eukaryota; Viridiplantae; Streptophyta; Magnoliopsida; Poales; Poaceae.
AUGCGUAAUGUUAAAUUUUGCUUCUAUUGCUGGAAUGUCCGAGGCCUCGGCCAAUCGCAGAAAUGCUUUGAUGUUCUCUCAGAGCUUCUCGUCAUUAAUCCUCACGCCUGCUUUCUUCAGGAAACCAAGCUCAAUGACAUCCCCUGCCUCAAAUGCAAUAGCUUUCUCCCCCGGCACUUAGAUACUUCCUGCUUUCUACCCUCGAAUGGCUCAGCAGGGGGAAUGCUUACUGUCUUCUCCUCAGCCCACUUCACGGCUCUUGCUUCCAACUCCGGCCUAUACACCCAAACCUCUACAGUUUCUUGUCUUGCCUCUCCCCAAAAUCUAACCGUCACGAACGUCUACGCCCUGACUUACCACGCCCUAAAGCAAUCUUUUCUUCAGGAGCUCGCUAACUGUUCCCCGCCCGGCAGUCCCUGGCUAAUCCUAGGUGACUUUAACCUUCUUCGCCAUCCCUCUGAAAAGAACACGUCCGGGUUUCGCCAAAGUGAGGACGACUUGUUCAAUGACUUUAUCCACUCGUGCGCUCUCAUUGAGCUUCCCCUCCUGGAUCGUAGCUUUACCUGGUCUAGUAAGAGAGACAAGCCGACCCUUGAGAAAAUUGAUAGGGUUUUUAUCAACACUGAUUGGGACCUUCUCUUCCCUAACACCACCUUGGCGUCCCUUACUUGCUUCGUCUCUGAUCAU